Symphalangus syndactylus (siamang) is the source of this 4742-nucleotide long non-coding RNA. RefSeq lists it as uncharacterized. Lineage: Eukaryota; Metazoa; Chordata; Mammalia; Primates; Hylobatidae. The record is from RefSeq and is a predicted model, not a curated record.
GGUUCCGGGCGGGCGGACGGGGGACGGCCCGAGUGAGGCGUCCUCCGAAGGCUGCGGGCCAGAAGCCAGAACUCCUCUCCAAAGACCUCGGGGGUGGGGCUCGCGCUUCCGCAGCGGGCCCAGAGCGAGAGGCAGGCAGCAGAGUUCUCUACAACCCAGACUCUGCAGUACCAAGGCUGCAGUUCUUUAUGUGCUGGGGGCUGGGGCUCUCUCCCUGGGAGCAGUUUGGCUCGAUGUGGACAGCUGGACAAAGGCCGUCUUGGCAAGACGUGGGGAUAAGCUUCUCCCAAGGAGUCUCGGCAUCCCCCGCCCCAGGAGGUUGAGGCUAGCAGACACCCCCUGACGAUUCACAGCUGAUUUAAUGCUACGUGAGUCCUGAGUAGCUCCCCUGGGAGAAGAGGCUAAGCUGGGGCAAUGGGGAAGGGGGUGCUAUUCUUAGAGAAAUCUGGAAGAGGUUUGAGGAGUCACAUGCAUGUGGACAGCUCAAGACUGUGUCCCGUCACCCCAUCUCCUGGCUUGCUAUGCUCCUAGAGUCACUGACCUGCCCUGCCAGAGGGCAGCCAUGAAAGUGCUUUGAGGUCAUCAGAGUGCAAAGUGCCGUCGGCAGUACCCUCUGGCCAGGGGCAGGGCAGGGUGAAUGUCAGUGUGCUGCUAAGCUGUGCUCUGGGGACCAGCACGCUGGACACUGAUAGUGGGGCUGGGGCGCUGGAGCGUCUCUGUCUGCUGCUUUCCUUAGCAGUGAUCAUGUCCAUUCACAGACUGUUCCUGUCAGGCACAUCCUGCAUCACCCUUCACCUUUACAGAUGAGGGAACUGAGUGCCAGCGAGUCUGGGGCAGUGCUGGGCCUGAAGGGGCUCGGGGCCUGCUGCUCUGGAGAAGAGUGGUAGCCAGCGGCAAAGGGGCACGUGUCUGGGGACUGAGAACCACUUCACUUACACACCUUCUUUGGUCCUUGGCUGAACCAGAGGUCACCUCAGGACCUGUGUUGCAACAACCUGAAAAGUGGUGUAUUCUACCAGGGAGCCUUCCCAGGGUCAGGCAUUCCUUUCCCCUAUACCCAACAGGGGUGAGCUGGCCAGGUGAGGCCAGGCAAGGGGGUCAGAGGGCCCCCUUAACCUACGGGCGGGCAUACCUGCUGACCUGGUUCUGCACUGAACCUGAGUGUGGGCCCUUACACACUUGACACUCUCAUACCAGCCUGGAGGGUGAGGGGCCGAGGGGCUUGCCCACCCCUUCUGACCCAGGCUGGAAGCUGCUCUCCCCUGUCUGCCAGCAAAUGGUCACUGAUCCAAGCGGGUCAGGCCAAUUCGACUGGAGCAGGGCAGAGAAGAUCCCGUUUGUUUCCCGAGGUAACUCCUGCCGUCCUCCUCUGUCUCUUCACGUGGCGGAGUGUUUUCUCAGCAGGAUGGGGCAGGACUCAGGUGGGAAAUCCUGGGAGGCGUUCUGCUUGCCCCCACCUUGCUGCUGCCGGGCCCUGGUCCCAUUGCUGAGCCGGGGGCUGGCAGAUCCCUGGGAGCGGCUGAGCCUGUGUUUCAGGGCAGCAUCAUGCGCCGAACAGGAAGGCUGCUUCCGGCAGUGUGGAGCCGGCGGUGGAGGGCAGGGUUAGGGCCUGUUCUCCAGCUGGCCAUGCUUGACCCUCCAGCUCCAGGCGAAGCUGCCAUCAGGGGCCAGUGUGCACUGCAGGUCGAUGCCCGAGUCUGGCACCUCCAUGUCGUAGCGAACAGGCUGCCCGUCUUUGGUCACCAAGCUGAAGGCUGCGGCUGGGAUCUAAGGGUGGAGCAAACCAGUGGGCUGAGAUCAUGGCAUGGGGCUCAAGCCACGGAGAAAGGUCAAGAGAGACUGCUCUCCUCCCCAAGCUAGGGGAACCUUCUGGGACUUCAUCAGCUGCCAAUGAGGGGAUAAUGGUCCUUCACUGCCCCAUCAGGAAAGGCUCGUGGGUGAUUUGGACCUUUGCUUGAAACCCAACUUACUGGCCAGGAACCUCAAGUUCUGGGACCAGGCGCCUUCCUCCCUCCCACUGUGCCAGGGGAGGGGAGACACAAUCCCUCAAUGGCUGUCUAGCUCCAGGCAGAUCAGCUGCUACGGGGGCUGCUGAGCAGGGAGAGGCUGUCGAUGCUGAGGCACGAGAGAAUUUGCUCCUGCUCCUCCAGAGAAAAUGGCUGGGACAGGCUGUUGAGGAAUAAUUCUGCAGGGAAAAGUGGAAGAUGGCUGUGAAAGACUGGGAGGAGGCUGGCUGUGUUUUCAGGGGUUCUUCCUGCACAGUCUGCAGAAGCUGAGCUGCUGGGGAAGGGGCUGGAAGAAAGCCCACACCGCAGCUGCUGCAGCUCCUGCUCCGGGAAGGUUGCUUUCCGCUCUGGUGAGCUGGGGUUUCUGGCAGGGGCUGGCUCCAGGGAGGACAGAGGUAAGGGUUCCCACAUCCCAGACUCCUCCUUGCUCAAAGUCAAGGGAGGAGACUUGUUUGGCUCUGGGGGCUCUGGUGGGAGAGGAGGCUGGAGCUUAGGGUCUCUGCCUGUUGUCUCCUCAGCUGGCCGGAGCCCUGGGGCCCUUGGCGAAAGCUCCCUCGGCUGGGCACGGAGGGUCUGGUGAUAAUUGGCUUGAUCUGGUGGUGGAUGUCUUGGUUCUUUAUAUUCUCCCCUCCAAGGGCUCUUCAGACCUCCCACUAGAAAACAGAGAGUACAAUGGUGAGGGGGUGCAUGCUGUGCACAGACAGCAGUCCAGGAAGGAGUGGCCUGUCCUGAGUGCAGAAGGGCUAGAGGAGAACAGAGGGGAGGACCCUGCCCCAGGCCACCACAGGAGGUGACUUCAGAAGGCAGCGUGGUGGUCUCCACAGGAGACUUCCUCAAUAAGAUGGUCCCAAUAUAACAGGGAUAGGACUGGAUUUCUGUCUUUGAUUCUGUUUUCUUCUAGGUAUCAGUAGCAAAUUCAAAAACUACAGAAUCAGCUCCAGAGGACUUUGUUAACAAGAAAGAGAAGAUUGAAAACAGCCCUGGGGCUACACCAACUCAAGAGCUCCCAGGCAAAGUGGCGUCCUGGACCCACAAUCUCUCCUACCCCAUCCUCAGUCAGUACUUCCCCAGGCACCGUUUGUUCUGGCGUGGGGCGAGUUCAGCCCUGGGACCACCCUCACAUCCUUAAAACUACCAGCUGUCUUUGGUGAGGUGCAAGAUCUCUCUGGUUUUAUUUCAUUUUCAUUCCUAUAAUCACAGCCUUUUUGUGCCCAUCCCUCAGGUGACAUUCUAUUACGUUUGAUGUGUCAUUUUUUAUUUGGUUGUGUCUUUGCAAAAUGUGUGUUGUUUUAUUUAUCAAUUUUUAUUUAUUUAUUUAUUUUUUGUUUUUUAAAGAGAUGAGGUCUCAUCAUGUUGCCCAGGCUGGACUCCAACUCCUGGGCUCAAGCGAUCCUUCCACCUCAGCCUCCUGAGUGGCUGGGACUACAGAUGUGCGCCACCAUACCUGGCUAUUGAUCAAUUUUUAGUUUACCAAACAGGCAUUAUGUUCUGGGUCCCAUUCUGUGUCGGGUUCUCUUUUCACUCGGCACCAUGGCUUUAGGAUCCAUCCAUGCUGCUCUGUGAACACCGAGUUGCUUUAACUGCUUGGCGCUCCAUGCGGCAUCCUCUUUUGUGUCUCUGUCCUACCAGUGAGGGACCCCAUCGUACCCUACUCCCCUCCCGCAAAGGAAGCUGUAGUGCGCGUCCUCAGGCGUGUCCCCAUAUGGAUCUGCUGGCAUUCCUUUGUCAGUGCACCCAGGGGUAGAGGUCCUUGGUCUCAGUCUGCAGACGUCUGCCUGAGUGCAGCCAGGUGCCCUCCAGAGUGGGUAGCCUUGUCCACAUGCCCAUCAGCAGCACCUGAGGGGUCCCAACAGCCCCCACAUCCCACCAACUUUCUGCUUUUUUCCAGUCAAAAGGCUCUCGAGUGUUACCUGGCUUUAUUUAUUUAUUUAUUUUUUGAGUCAGGGUCUCUGUUGCCCAGACUGGAGUGCAGCGGUACAAUCAUGGCUCACUGUAGCCUCGACCUCCCAGGCUCAAACAAUCCUCUCACCUCCUGAGUAGCUGGGACUACAGGCACGUGCCACCAUGCCUGGCUAAUUUUUAAAUUUUUUUUGCAGAGAAAGGGUCUUGCUAUGUUGCCCAGGCUGAUCUUGAACUCCUGGCCUCAAGCGAUCCUCCUGCCCCAGCCUCCCAAAGUGCUGGGAUUACAGGUGUGAGCCACUGCUCCCGGCCUGUCUUUAUUUUGUAUUCUUGGAUUCCUCGUGAGUUUGAGCCCCCUCUAUAUAUCAUAACCCUUGUGAUACUAGUAAACAUAUAUUUUGUCUUUAACCCCAUUUCUGGCACAUAACUCCUAAAAGCCUUACUCUCCAAAAUGAUCUCUUUCUGUGUGCUAAUGGAUUGACUGAAGGCUGGCAGCCCCUAGGUAGCUUCAGGAUGGGGGCUGGUCAUCAGAGAGACACAGGUAGGAUUAGAGGGUUGGGACUCUCAUCCCACUAUCCCACAUACUGGGAGGGAAGGGGGCUAAAGGUUAAGCUGUUCGCCAAUGGCCAGUGAUUUAUUCAAUCAUACCUAUGUAAUGAAGCCUCUACAAAAACCCAAGAAGAUAAGGUUCAGAGAACUUCUGGUAGCUGGGCACAUGGAGGUUCCUGGAGGGUGCCAAGCCCUGGAAGCUCCGCGCUUCCUCCCACACGCCUUGCCCUAUGCAUCUCUUCAUUUGUAUCCUUUGUAAUAUCCUUUCUAAUAAACCGGUAAAUGUAA